Molecule: ribosomal RNA, 468 nt
Filed under: uncultured bacterium
Lineage: Bacteria
Description: partial 16S ribosomal RNA
Rfam family: Bacterial small subunit ribosomal RNA
Source: RNAcentral
GACGAACGCUGGCGGCGUGCUUAACACAUGCAAGUCGAACGGAAAGGCCCUGCUUUUGUGGGGUGCUCGAGUGGCGAACGGGUGAGUAACACGUGAGUAACCUGCCCUUGACUUUGGGAUAACUUCAGGAAACUGGGGCUAAUACCGGAUAGGAGCUCCUGCUGCAUGGUGGGGGUUGGAAAGUUUCGGCGGUGGGGGAUGGACUCGCGGCUUAUCAGCUUGUUGGUGGGGUAGUGGCUUACCAAGGCUUUGACGGGUAGCCGGCCUGAGGGGGUGACCGGCCACAUUGGGACUGAGAUACGGCCCAGACUCCUACGGGGGACAGGAGUGGGGAAUAUUGCACAAUGGGCGGAAGCCUGAUGCAGCCGCGCCGCGUGCGGGAUGACGGCCUUCGGGUUGUAAACCGCUUUCGCCUGUGACGAAGCGUGAGUGACGGUAAUGGGUAAAGAAGCACCGGCUAACUACGUG